This is a long non-coding RNA of Phyllostomus discolor (pale spear-nosed bat), 990 nucleotides long. RefSeq lists it as uncharacterized. The transcript has 3 exons. The record is from RefSeq and is a predicted model, not a curated record. Lineage: Eukaryota; Metazoa; Chordata; Mammalia; Chiroptera; Phyllostomidae.
UAACUUUAAGCAACAAAGUUCUAUUGGAGUCUUAUCUCUUAUAACCACCUCCUCCAAGCAUUCCAUUUUAUAUUCCAGCAAUAAUGUUCAAAAUUGUCUUAACACACCACUUAAACUUCACUUCUGAAUGUUUUCUCUAUCAGGGAUGUCCAACCCGUGGCCUGUGGGCUUGCAUGCGGCCCAGGACGGCUAUGAAUGCGGCCCAGCACAAAAUUGUAAACUUACUUAAAACUUUUUUUCAGCUCACCAGUUUUCAUCAGUAUUUGUGUAUUUAAUGUGUGGCCUAAGAUAACUCUUCUCCUUCCAGUGAGGCCCAGAGAUGCCAAAAGGUUGGACACCCCUGCAAAUGGCUCUCCCUUCCUUGUAUAUUUGGAAAGCUCUCUUUAUACUUUUAAAACCUAGCUCUCAUCUCUUCCAGAAAGCCCUUCCCACCCUCACCUGGAUGGCACUAAAAUCUCCCACACUCUUGGCUACCUCUACAGCCACACGUGCCUUCGUGAAUAUAUUUUCCACACAGCUUACCCUUCUUGUAUGCCCCUUCUUAGGCUGUGUAUUAUUCUUACUUAUUUCUACCCCAGCAUACUGCUUGCACAUUAGCAGAUACUCAAUAUACCUACUAAAUUAAAUCAGAAUUGAUUCAACCUAACCCAUACCAGACAGCAAGAAUUCAAGACCAGGUUUAAAAGUAAAUUAACAAAAACUUGAAGCAUAGUAUGCCACUUGUGAAGGUUUAGUAACAAGUCACAGACAAGAACAAACACAGAACUUCAAUUUCAGGGUAGGUACACACCAAAGAAGUACAAAAGUGGUUUCCAGUUGAAUAAAAUUAACAUGUAGUUAUAUAUACUUAGUGUCAUUCCUUUGGGGCCUACUGCAAUGUUUUCAGUUUUAGUCAAGUCUCUCCUAACAACACCAUCUAUUAUUACUUUUGACAUCUGUUAGUCAAUCUUCUGAUUAUUUUAAAAUACCAAUCAGCCUAAGAGUCCUUUG